AUUGAACGCGGGCGGCAGGCUUAACACAUGCAAGUCGAGCGAGCGGCGGACGGGCGAGUAAGGUAUGGGAACCUGCCUGAUGGAGGGGGAUAACUACUGGAAACGGUAGCUAAUACCGCAUACCAUCAGAUGUGUCCAGAUGGGAUUAGCUAGUAGGUGGGGUAAUGGCUCACCUAGGCGACGAUCCCUAGCUGGGCUGAGAGGAUGACCAGCCCCACUGGAACUGGGACACGGUCCAGACGCCUACGGGAGGCAGCAGUGGGGAAUAUUGCACAAUUGGCGCAAGCCUGAUGCAGCCAUGCCGCGUGUGUGAAGAAGGCCUUCGGGUUGUAAGGCACUUUCAGCGUGGAGGCGUUACUCGCAGAAGAAGCACCGGCUAGCUCCGUGCGAGCCGCCGCGGUAAUUC
RNAcentral lists this ribosomal RNA (406 nucleotides) under uncultured bacterium. RNAcentral describes it as "partial 16S ribosomal RNA". It matches the Rfam family "Bacterial small subunit ribosomal RNA", at positions 30 to 526 of the family's 1533-position model. The record is from RNAcentral.